GAUGAACGCUGGCGGCGUGCCUAAUACAUGCAAGUCGAGCGAACAGACGAGGAGCUUGCUCCUCUGACGUUAGCGGCGGACGGGUGAGUAACACGUGGAUAACCUACCUAUAAGACUGGGAUAACUUCGGGAAACCGGAGCUAAUACCGGAUGAUAUAUUGAACCGCAUGGUUCAAUAGUGAAAGACGGUUUUGCUGUCACUUAUAGAUGGAUCCGCGCCGCAUUAGCUAGUUGGUAAGGUAACGGCUUACCAAGGCGACGAUGCGUAGCCGACCUGAGAGGGUGAUCGCCCACACGGGAACUGAGACACGGUCCAGACUCCUACGGGAGGCAGCAGUAGGGAAUCUUCCGCAAUGGGCGAAAGCCUGACGGAGCAACGCCGCGUGAGUGAUGAAGGUCUUCGGAUCGUAAAACUCUGUUAUUAGGGAAGAACAAAUGUGUAAGUAACUAUGCACGUCUUGACGGUACCUAAUCAGAAAGCCACGGCUAACUACGUG
Molecule: ribosomal RNA, 497 nt
Filed under: uncultured bacterium
Lineage: Bacteria
Description: partial 16S ribosomal RNA
Rfam family: Bacterial small subunit ribosomal RNA
Source: RNAcentral